Molecule: ribosomal RNA, 546 nt
Filed under: uncultured bacterium
Lineage: Bacteria
Description: bacterial SSU rRNA
Rfam family: Bacterial small subunit ribosomal RNA
Source: RNAcentral
CUACGGGAGGCAGCAGUGGGGAAUAUUGCACAAUGGGGGAAACCCUGAUGCAGCGACGCCGCGUGAGCGAAGAAGUAUUUCGGUAUGUAAAGCUCUAUCAGCAGGGAAGAAAAUGACGGUACCUGACUAAGAAGCACCGGCUAAAUACGUGCCAGCAGCCGCGGUAAUACGUAUGGUGCAAGCGUUAUCCGGAUUUACUGGGUGUAAAGGGAGCGUAGACGGCUGUGUAAGUCUGAAGUGAAAGCCCGGGGCUCAACCCCGGGACUGCUUUGGAAACUAUGCAGCUAGAGUGUCGGAGAGGUAAGUGGAAUUCCCAGUGUAGCGGUGAAAUGCGUAGAUAUUGGGAGGAACACCAGUGGCGAAGGCGGCUUACUGGACGAUGACUGACGUUGAGGCUCGAAAGCGUGGGGAGCAAACAGGAUUAGAUACCCUGGUAGUCCACGCCGUAAACGAUGACUACUAGGUGUCGGGGAGCAAAGCUCUUCGGUGCCGCAGCAAACGCAAUAAGUAGUCCACCUGGGGAGUACGUUCGCAAGAAUGAAACUC